GAUGAACGCUAGCGGCGUGCCUAAUACAUGCAAGUCGAGCGAACAGACGAGGAGCUUGCUCCUCUGACGUUAGCGGCGGACGGGUGAGUAACACGUGGAUAACCUACCUAUAAGACUGGGAUAACUUCGGGAAACCGGAGCUAAUACCGGAUAAUAUAUUGAACCGCAUGGUUCAAUAGUGAAAGACGGUUUUGCUGUCACUUAUAGAUGGAUCCGCGCCGCAUUAGCUAGUUGGUAAGGUAACGGCUUACCAAGGCGACGAUGCGUAGCCGACCUGAGAGGGUGAUCGGCCACACUGGAACUGAGACACGGUCCAGACUCCUACGGGAGGCAGCAGUAGGGAAUCUUCCGCAAUGGGCGAAAGCCUGACGGAGCAACGCCGCGUGAGUGAUGAAGGUCUUCGGAUCGUAAAACUCUGUUAUUAGGGAAGAACAAAUGUGUAAGUAACUAUGCACGUCUGGACGGUACCUAAGCAGAAAGCCACGGCUAACUACGU
Molecule: ribosomal RNA, 496 nt
Filed under: uncultured bacterium
Lineage: Bacteria
Description: partial 16S ribosomal RNA
Rfam family: Bacterial small subunit ribosomal RNA
Source: RNAcentral